AGAAAAGAUUUUUUUUAAAAGCAAAAAGUGAAAAGAGAAACUGGACAUGGCGGUGCACAGCUUUAAUCCCGGCACUGGGGAGGCAGAGUGACCUGGCUGGCUGGGAACUCAGUAGCUGAGGAUGACCUUGAACUUCUGAACACUCCCCAAGCCUUGGGUUAUAAUUGGGUUAUAAAGCACAAACCACCUGGUCUAA
Apodemus sylvaticus (European woodmouse) is the source of this 196-nucleotide long non-coding RNA. RefSeq lists it as uncharacterized. The transcript is spliced from 2 exons. The record is from RefSeq and is a predicted model, not a curated record. Lineage: Eukaryota; Metazoa; Chordata; Mammalia; Rodentia; Muridae.